This 697-nucleotide ribosomal RNA is filed under the name Mucor flavus. RNAcentral describes it as "eukaryotic LSU rRNA". It matches the Rfam family "Eukaryotic large subunit ribosomal RNA", at positions 50 to 648 of the family's 3401-position model. Lineage: Eukaryota; Fungi; Mucoromycota; Mucoromycetes; Mucorales; Mucoraceae. The record is from RNAcentral.
GCGGAGGAAAAGAAAAUAACAAUGAUUUCCCUAGUAACGGCGAGUGAAGAGGAAAGAGCUCAAAGUUGGAACCUGUUUGGCUUAGCUAAACCGGAUUGUAAACUGUAGAAGUGUUUUCCAGACACGCCUGGUAAAAAAGUCCUUUGGAACAGGGCAUCAUAGAGGGUGAGAAUCCCGUCUUUGGCCAGAGCUGUUGUCUUUUGUGAUACAUUUUCAAAGAGUCAGGUUGUUUGGGAAUGCAGCCUAAAUUGGGUGGUAAAUCUCACCUAAAGCUAAAUAUUUGCGAGAGACCGAUAGCGAACAAGUACCGUGAGGGAAAGAUGAAAAGAACUUUGAAAAGAGAGUUAAACAGUAUGUGAAAUUGUUAAAAGGGAACCGUUUGGAGCCAGACUGGCUUGACUGUAAUCAAUCUAGGCUUCGGCCUGGAUGCACUUGCGGUUUAUGCCUGCCAACGACAAUUUUUUUUGAGGGAAAAAACUAUGAGGAAUGUGGCCCCUCUCGGGGGGUGUUAUAGCCUUUUAGAAAAUACCUUGAAUUGGAUUGAGGAACGCAGUGAAUGCCUUUAGGCAAGAUUGCUGGGCGCUUUCGCUAAUAAAUGCUAGAAUUUCUGCUUCGGGUGGUGCUAGUGUUUAAAGGAGAAACUCGCUUAGUAUAUUUUUUAUUCGCUUAGGUUGUUGGCUUAAUGACUCUAAAUGAC